Long non-coding RNA from Centrocercus urophasianus (Greater sage-grouse), 2199 nucleotides. RefSeq lists it as uncharacterized. NCBI's taxonomy places the organism in Eukaryota, Metazoa, Chordata, Aves, Galliformes, Phasianidae. The record is from RefSeq and is a predicted model, not a curated record. The transcript has 3 exons.
CGGAGCCACCGUGGAUCUUCCUCUUGGAGCGUUCGUGCUUGGGCAGGUUCCAGGGCAGCGUGUCCCCCGGUGCCGGCGACCCCGUGCCCGACUUCUGGCUGAGGUCUUCCUCCUCGGAGAGAUCGGCGGAGGACGACAUGGAGCAGCGUUUUCCAAUAUGAAUUGCAAGACUUAACCCUGAAGGAAUGUACCUACAUUUGUGGAAGCAAACAAAGUUACUGAAGAUUUCUUAGAAGCGAAAAUAAGAAUUUCAGCUCUGAGCAUCUGGGAAACUACAGUAUGCAGAGUUGGCACACACAAACCAAAGACUGUCAGAACUACAGCUGCCAGGCCACUGCUCCACCACCACAGACUGACCACGCAAACCCCAUCCUCACAGCUCUUACCUCCCAUCUGAGGACACCUAUCAUCCUCGCUGAGAAGCUGAACAGGAUACUUCCAGCAUGGAGAUAUGUAGAAAAGCUGAUCUCUCUGCCUAGUAGUCACUUGCCACAGUUGCAGACUGAUUGCAAUGUGGGCAGGAAGCAUGGAAAGCAAGGGCAGGCAGGCAGCAGACCUGAUGGGCAGGAGAGAACUGUUUUUUUACAUGCUCCUGGUGAUUUGCUCGGCCGUGCUUAGCUAGGAAGAGGAAAAAGCCAUAUGAUCUGAAUGCAGAGAGGACAAACACCGGAACCAGGAUGCUGAAGGAAAGGGCAGGAGAAAUACAGCUGGACUGACAGCCUGAGGGACAAACACAGAGACUGGCUGAGCCCGGAAAUACAAUCUAGGGGCUGGAGCUGAAGAGAAAAAGCGUUUAAGGGCUCAACAGCCUGCAUAAAGACUAGAGGAUAAACAGAGCCACAGGACAACAGCUGGGACAAGUGACUGUGCUGGAAAGAGUGGACCAGGGGAGAAUCAAGGAUCUGAUGAGCUGUUGUGAAACUGGUAGUGCCUCAGCAAAAGGCUCUGAAUGGGGUUACGUGAUGAACAAGGCAGACAGGAACUGAGGAGACAGUCUCCAAGAAGAGAGACAAACAGGAGCCAAGGAAGGUAAAAAGGGGGCCUCAGGGAGACACAGAAAUUGAAGAGCUGGUUAGACAAGUACCUCUGAGCACCAAUGUAACUGAGCCUGGGGCUGGAUUCACAGGGAUUGAGACACAGGAAUGACACAAGGACUAACAGAGCAAGAGCAGGAGGGCUGGGGUCAGCAGAGGAGCAAGUGGUGGGAAGCAUGGCUGAGCAGGCAGGAGAAAGGAGCCAGCAGCAGGAUGGAGGAAGGCCAGGAGCAGGCUGGAAGGAAUGGGCCAAAAGUAGUAAAGCUUAGGGAGAAUGUGCACAAAAAAGCACAUUCCCCUGGAGAGCCUGUAGGAAACUGCAGGGAACUCCACCAACAGCAAAUAUCUGAAAGUUCCUCUAGAAAAUUAACUCUUCCCCUGUAUUGUUGAUUCUCAUGGAGGAAUACAAAUACUGUCAGUCUCCGAGUUUCAAUAGCAGAAAUUUCUCUGGCAUAGUUCAAGUGACAAAACCUGCUCGUGAGCCACACAACAGGGCUUUCUUUUUAAGUAAAUUAUUUUCAACAGUAAAAUCUUUUAACACCAGGUUCCUGCUAAAGUACUGUUCUUAAGGUUGCAAAAUCAAGCAGUCAGAUGCUACUAAAUCACUCAAUCCCCUUAAUUCAGCCUUUUUAUUUCCACAUCAUGAUGCAGUCAUAACAAUCUGGCCAUACGCUAUUGCGUCCACAAUCUCUAGACCGUUUAGUGCAAGUGAUGGGUGAUAUUCUCUCCAUGAAUAGCUGCUCAGUAUUUAGUUUUGUCAUAUGCUUUUCAGUGGGCAGCCCCAGAACUUUUCUUUAUGCUGCUGAAAUAAUGAUGUGAAGAAAAAAUUAUUUUGCAGACUGUUUUGUGGCGCUCUUCACUACAGUGAAUCUAACUGCGUGGUAUCUGACUGCUUCACAAUUAAUGAUGAUCUUUUGAAUUAUACAGGGGACAAACUGAAACCAAUAGAUCAAUUUUGGUACCUGAGGUCAAGCUAGGGACAGGGAUCUCAUUUUUAAGAGUUACUAGAAUCAUGCAUUAGUAAUACUCAGAGCAUGGACACGUGGAGUUCCAUGCUAAGUGGCAGUUUGAGAACUUUAAUAAACUUAACUACAUGCUGUAAGUCAGGCAACUGGAAAAUGGAGGAUAAAGUGUUUUAAGCCAGUUGAUCGGCAAGUUCACAGUG